This is a long non-coding RNA of Mangifera indica (mango), 1288 nucleotides long. RefSeq lists it as uncharacterized. The record is from RefSeq and is a predicted model, not a curated record. NCBI's taxonomy places the organism in Eukaryota, Viridiplantae, Streptophyta, Magnoliopsida, Sapindales, Anacardiaceae. The transcript has 2 exons.
UGUCAGGAUGUAUAGACCCCUAGAUUCAUGUCCUUUACCAAUAAUUUGCUUCUUGUAAGAUCUUGAAAUAGACAAUGAUCAAAGAAAAAUGAGAUACAAUAAUUAAGGGCAUGAGUGAGCUUACUUACAGAAAGUAAAUUGAAAGAAAAUUUUGGUUAACUUAAGGUAGAUGAGAGAGAUUAAUGGAGUUAGAUCAACAGUGCCAGAACCAAGAACAUGUGAUGUUGAUCCAUCUGUUGAAGUAAUACUAGAAGGAGAUGCAUGAGACUGGAAAGCAGAAAAGAGACUAGGGUUACCUGUCAUAUGAUCUAUGACACUAAAAUCAAUAACCCAUUUGGGUAAUGAGGAAACAAGACAUGUGUUUGGUUUACCUAACUCAAUGAUAACAGUGAUAAGAGUAGAUGAAAACUUCAAUGAUUCCUAGUACUGAGAGAAUUUAGCAAAUUCAUUUGCAGAAAUCGUAGUAGUAUCAUCAGUUGUAGAAUUGGUGGUUGCAAUUUGUGCUGAAUAAGAUUUUUGAGUCCAAUUCUGCAAUUUUCUAUAAGUGUGCUUUGUUUGUCCAGACUUAUGACAGUAAUAACAGACAAUCCCUCUUGAAUACUAACUGCGAUUAUCAGCACCUCUUUCACGAUUUUUAGGUCCUCCUCUAUUAUUAUUUUUGUUAUAUGAAUGCCUUGUGUCGGAUGCACUACUUUGACCAAUAAGAGCACUAUUAUUCUGAAACGAUGAGAUACUUUCUGUGUGAAGUACCCUAGUAAAUGUGUCAUGCAAUGAUGAAAUCUCAGGACUAGCAAGAAUCUGAAACUUAGCAAUUUCAAAGUCAGGAGGGAGACUACCUAGGAAACUCAUAAUGGCCAUCUGUUCUCGUUGAGCUUGUUGAACUUUUACAUCUGAAUUGAAUGAUAACAACAUAUUGAGUUCUUCAUAAGUUCUUUUAAAGUCUAUAAAGUAAGAAGUAAUCGUCUUGUCUUGUUUUUCUGCAUGAUAAAAGGCUUUGCACACCUCAUAUACACGAGAAAUAUUUCCUCUCCCAGAAUACAGGAAAUCUAGAUACUCCAUCAAUUCCUUAACGAAUUCACAGUGAUUAAUUAAGCUAAUUACCUCACUUUUGAUGAAGUUUCGCAUCUGUAGAAAUAAUCGGGCAUCAUCUCUCAGCCAUGCCUGUCUAAUACCAUCCAUAGGAGGAGUUUCUAUAAGAUGAUCAUCUUUCUCAAGGCUUAACAGAUAAAGUCGAAUUGUCUUGCUCCAUUCAGGAUCAAGAUGAGCUGUAUGAAGAGAGACACAAUCG